UACGGGGGGGGCAAGCGUUGUUCGGAAUUACUGGGCGUAAAGGGCUCGUAGGUGGCCAACUAAGUCAGACGUGAAAUCCCCAGGCUCAACUUGGGAACUGCGUCUGAUACUGGAUGGCUUGAAUUCGGGAGAGGGAUGCAGAAUUCCAGGUGUAGCGGUGAAAUGCGUAGAUAUCUGGAGGAAUACCGGUGGUGUAGACGGCUCUCUGGACCGUAACUGACACUGAGACACGAAAGCGUGGGUAGCAAACAGG
Molecule: ribosomal RNA, 253 nt
Filed under: uncultured bacterium
Lineage: Bacteria
Description: partial 16S ribosomal RNA
Rfam family: Bacterial small subunit ribosomal RNA
Source: RNAcentral